CCUACGGGAGGCAGCAGUGGGGAAUAUUGGACAAUGGGGGAAACCCUGAUCCAGCGACGCCGCGUGAGUGAAGAAGUAUUUCGGUACGUAAAGCUCUAUCAGCAGGAAAGAAAAUGACGGUACCUGACUAAGAAGCCCCGGCUAACUACGUGCCAGCAGCCGCGGUAAUACGUAGGGGGCAAGCGUUAUCCGGAUUUACUGGGUGGAAAGGGAGCGUAGACGGCAGCGCAAGUCUGGAGUGAAAUGCCGGGGCCCAACCCCGGAACUGCUCUGGAAACUGUGAAGCUGGAGUGCAGGAGAGGUAAGCGGAAUUCCUGGUGUAGCGGUGAAAAGCGUAGAUAUCAGGAGGAACACCGGCGGCGAAGGCGGCUUACUGGACUGUAACUGACGUUGAGGCUCGAAGGCGUGGGGAGCAAACAGGAUUAGAUACCCGAGUAGUC
RNAcentral lists this ribosomal RNA (440 nucleotides) under uncultured bacterium. RNAcentral's name for it is "partial 16S ribosomal RNA". It matches the Rfam family "Bacterial small subunit ribosomal RNA", at positions 338 to 795 of the family's 1533-position model. The record is from RNAcentral.